GAAUCUUCCACAAUGGACGAAAGUCUGAUGGAGCGACGCCGCGUGGGGGAUGAAGGUUUUCGGAUCGUAAACCCCUUUUCUCAGGGAAGAGUAAGGACGGUACCUGAGGAAUAAGCAUCGGCUAACUACGUGCCAGCAGCCGCGGUAAUACGUAGGAUGCUAGCGUUGUCCGGAAUCACUGGGCGUAAAGGGUCCGUAGGCGGUUUGUUAAGUCUCCUGUGAAAACUUCGGGCUCAACCCGGAGAGGUCGGGGGAUACUGGCAAACUUGAGACUGUCAGGGGCAAGUGGAAUUCCCGGUGUAGUGGUGAAAUGCGUAGAUAUCGGGAGGAACACCAGUGGCGAAAGCGGCUUGCUGGGGCAGUUCUGACGCUGAGGGACGAAAGCGUGGGUAGCAAACCGG
This 401-nucleotide ribosomal RNA is filed under the name uncultured bacterium. Its description in RNAcentral is "bacterial SSU rRNA". It matches the Rfam family "Bacterial small subunit ribosomal RNA", at positions 359 to 776 of the family's 1533-position model. The record is from RNAcentral.